This 460-nucleotide ribosomal RNA is filed under the name uncultured bacterium. RNAcentral's name for it is "partial 16S ribosomal RNA". It matches the Rfam family "Bacterial small subunit ribosomal RNA", at positions 338 to 795 of the family's 1533-position model. The record is from RNAcentral.
CCUACGGGUGGCAGCAGUGAGGAAUAUUGGUCAAUGGGCGCGAGCCUGAACCAGCCAAGUAGCGUGAAGGAUGACUGCCCUACGGGUUGUAAACUUCUUUUAUAAAGGAAUAAAGUGAGGCUCGUGUGCCUUUUUGUCUGUACUUUAUGAAUAAAGAUCGGCUAACUUCGUGCCAGCCGCCGCGGUAAUACGGAGGAUCCGAGCGUUGUCCGGAUUUAUUGGGUUUAAAGGGAGCGUAGGUGGGUUGUUAAGUCAGUUGUGAAAGUUUGCGGCUCAACCGUAAAAUUGCAAUUGAUACUGGCAGUCUUGAGUGCAGUUGAGGUAGGCGGAAUUCGUGGUGUAGCGGUGAAAUGCUUAGAUAUCACGAAGAACUCCGAUUGCGAAGGCAGCUUACUAAACUGCAACUGACAUUGAUGCUCGAAAGUGUGGGUAUCAAACAGGAUUAGAUACCCCGGUAGUC